Molecule: long non-coding RNA, 1106 nt
Organism: Suricata suricatta (meerkat)
Lineage: Eukaryota; Metazoa; Chordata; Mammalia; Carnivora; Herpestidae
Exons: 5
Source: RefSeq, a predicted model, not a curated record
GCCACAGACUCAGGUGGUGGAACCAUCAAGUCACGAUCCCCAGUGUUGGACAAUCAGCCAUACUCAGAGGAAGUGAACAAGAAUUACUACCUGGACCUAAAUCCAAGUCUUUUCUAACUUCGACACCCAUGCUGUCCCAUGACAUCACACUAAGGAACUGCCUAACAAUGCCUGCCAUCUACGCCAUGAAGUAAGCAAAGGUACAAGUCAGGAGGAGUCUGAUGUCAAUGCCAGGGAAACUCCUCUUCUGGCAAGUAUGUGACACGGAGAAGACAUCUGCCAACAUACAUUCCUAGAGCCUGUGGCCCAUGUCUUGACAUACUGAGCCAGUGACAGGAGGACACCAAUGAUGAUGUAUUGUCAGAUGGCCAAUGGGCAUGAGAGAAGACUGGUAAACCAAGUAAGAAGGCACUGGUAGAGGCAGCAAAGAGGCGUAGUGCUUGCGACAAGGCUGUUGCUUCAAAAGAAAAGAGGCCGUACCUUCACAGCCACGCUCGAUCUGUCCACUCCGAUGGAGGGCAUCGUUGAUGAGGUCUGGCAGACGCCCAUUCAAAUCCACUGAUGCCAGACAGCCCUGAAAGCCAUCCCGGGAAGCCACCAGCUUUGGAAGGUUGCUGUACAUACCUUGGGCCAGACCCGCCAUAUAGAGGUCACCUGCAAAAGAAACUCAACUGCAAUGAAGUCAUUGCCGUCACCACUGUUGAAGAGAAUGAAGCCAUCAGCUGAGGUGGUCUUGAACUGGAAGAAGAGGUGCAUGGAGGUGUACGCCUGGAGGGUGGCCAGGCUCAGCUUUCCAGAGGAAAAGAAGUGACAUAACCUGGAAGAUUAAAGAAAAUCUACCAAGAAACUGUAUUCCCAUAGCUUCCCCCUGGCACUUCCUAUUUGUUCCUAUGAGAACAAGUGAUCUUCAAGAAAUACCCAGCAUACCCCACUUACCCACAGCAUGUACUUUAGGGGAGCAAGUCUUGCUUCAGUGGGGAUGCCUACCCAAGUCCUGAAUUAGUUAGCAUUCAAGUGGGCAAUUCUAAUUCUGAAAUUCGGUUGAUGUUAACCACAUUCUUCAGUACCACUGUUACCACUAAAUAAAUGAUACUUGGCUUUAACCA